UUCAGUUUGUCAAAUGUGCAUGUCCUCAAUAUGUGGAUUCAUCUGCCGUAGGACAAUACAACAACUGUUUCAUCUCGAGCAUUUUAGUUGUAUGGUAGUAAACUAAAUGUUGGUACUCACGGUGGACACUUCAACUCAUGUAGCAAUCCGACAAUGAUAAAAUUAUGGUUACGCAUACUCCUUUCAGCAUCUACCUUGAAUACUAGCUACUAAAUGAGGGAAGUUGGCUCAAAGCAAUACACAUCUCCACUAGAUACUUUCUCUUACGGUUUGCUCAUUUUUCUGCUGUGC
RNAcentral lists this long non-coding RNA (291 nucleotides) under Nicotiana benthamiana. RNAcentral describes it as "long non-coding RNA (NBEN_LNC025853)". Lineage: Eukaryota; Viridiplantae; Streptophyta; Magnoliopsida; Solanales; Solanaceae. The record is from RNAcentral.